AGCUUCGUAGCUUAGCUGAUAGAGCGUGCACUGUACAAAAGUGUCGGAGGCGCCAUGUGUGGAUUCGAAUCCCACCGAGGCUA
RNAcentral lists this transfer RNA (83 nucleotides) under Echinostoma caproni. It matches the Rfam family "tRNA". From Rfam's summary of the family: Transfer RNA (tRNA) molecules are approximately 80 nucleotides in length. Their secondary structure includes four short double-helical elements and three loops (D, anti-codon, and T loops). The record is from Rfam by way of RNAcentral. Lineage: Eukaryota; Metazoa; Platyhelminthes; Trematoda; Plagiorchiida; Echinostomatidae.